This 429-nucleotide ribosomal RNA is filed under the name uncultured archaeon. RNAcentral's name for it is "bacterial SSU rRNA". It matches the Rfam family "Archaeal small subunit ribosomal RNA", at positions 474 to 903 of the family's 1478-position model. The record is from RNAcentral.
UACCUGCAGCUCGAGUGGUAACCGCUAUUAUUGGGCCUAAAGCGUCCGUAGCCGGUCUGGUAAAUAUCUGGGUAAAUCGUGAGGCUUAACUUCACGAAUUUCGGAUAGACUGCCAGACUUGGGAUCGGGGGAGGUCAGAGGUACUCCAGGGGUAGCGGUGAAAUGUUGUAAUCCUUGGAGGACCACCGGUAGCGAAGGCGUCUGACUAGAACGAGUCCGACGGUGAGGGACGAAGCCCUGGGGCGCAAACCGGAUUAGAUACCCGGGUAGUCCAGGGUGUAAACUAUGUGGGCUUUGUAUUGGAGGUCCCACGUGGGCGUCCAGUGCAGAAGAGAAGUUGUUAAGCCCACCGCCUGGGAAGUACGGUCGCAAGGCUGAAACUUAAAGGAAUUGGCGGGGGAGCACAGCAACGGGAGGAGCGUGCGGUUU